Molecule: transfer RNA, 74 nt
Filed under: Amphiamblys sp. WSBS2006
Lineage: Eukaryota; Fungi; Microsporidia; Amphiacanthidae
Rfam family: tRNA
About the family: Transfer RNA (tRNA) molecules are approximately 80 nucleotides in length. Their secondary structure includes four short double-helical elements and three loops (D, anti-codon, and T loops).
Source: Rfam by way of RNAcentral
GCUCUCUUAGCUCAGUUGGUUAGAGCAUCGUGCUAAUAACGCGAGGGUCGCAGGUUCGAGCCCUGCAGGGAGCA